GGGUGCGAUCAUACCUGCGUUAAUGCAUCGGAUCCCAUCAAAAAUUUGCAGUUAAGCACACUUGGGAUAGAAUAGUACUGGGAUGGGUGACCUCCUGGGAAGUCCUAGUGUUGCAUCCU
Picea glauca (white spruce) is the source of this 119-nucleotide non-coding RNA. NCBI's taxonomy places the organism in Eukaryota, Viridiplantae, Streptophyta, Pinopsida, Pinales, Pinaceae. The record is from Rfam.